This 466-nucleotide ribosomal RNA is filed under the name uncultured bacterium. RNAcentral describes it as "bacterial SSU rRNA". It matches the Rfam family "Bacterial small subunit ribosomal RNA", at positions 329 to 792 of the family's 1533-position model. The record is from RNAcentral.
UCCCAGACUCCUACGGGAGGCAGCAGUGAGGAAUAUUGGUCAAUGGGCGAGAGCCUGAACCAGCCAAGUCGCGUGAAGGAUGACGGCCCUACGGGUUGUAAACUUCUUUUGUCAGGGAGCAAUUGGGUCCACGCGUGGGCUUAGCGAGAGUACCUGAAGAAAAAGCAUCGGCUAACUCCGUGCCAGCAGCCGCGGUAAUACGGAGGAUGCGAGCGUUAUCCGGAUUUAUUGGGUUUAAAGGGUGCGUAGGCGGGCUGUUAAGUCAGCGGUAAAAUGUCGGGGCUCAACCCCGGCCUGCCGUUGAAACUGGCGGCCUCGAGUGGGCGAGAAGUAUGCGGAAUGCGUGGUGUAGCGGUGAAAUGCAUAGAUAUCACGCAGAACUCCGAUUGCGAAGGCAGCAUACCGGCGCCCGACUGACGCUCAGGCACGAAAGCGUGGGUAUCGAACAGGAUUAGAUACCCCGGUA